AAUAGAUACCCGGGUAGUCCACGCCGUAAACGAUGAGUGCUAAGUGUUAGGGGGUUUCCGCCCCUUAGUGCUGCAGCUAACGCAUUAAGCACUCCGCCUGGGGAGUACGGUCGCAAGACUGAAACUCAAAGGAAUUGACGGGGGCCCGCACAAGCGGUGGAGCAUGUGGUUUAAUUCGAAGCAACGCGAAGAACCUUACCAGGUCUUAACAUCCCAUUGACCGCUAUGGAGACAUAGCUUUCCCUUCGGGGACAGUGGUGACAGGUGGUGCAUGGUUGUCGUCAGCUCGUGUCGUGAGAUGUUGGGUUAAGUCCCGCAACGAGCGCAACCCUUGUUCUUAGUUGCCAUCAUUUAGUUGGGCACUCUAAGGAGACUGCCGGUGACAAACCGGAGGAAGUGGGGAUGACGUCAAAUCAUCAUGCCCCUUAUGACCUGGGCUACACACGUGCUACAAUGGACGGUACAAACGGUUGCCAACCCGGCGAGGGGGUAGCUAGUCCGAUAAAAACCCGUUCUCAGUUCGGAUUGUAGGCUGCAACUCGCCUACA
RNAcentral lists this ribosomal RNA (548 nucleotides) under uncultured bacterium. Its description in RNAcentral is "bacterial SSU rRNA". It matches the Rfam family "Bacterial small subunit ribosomal RNA", at positions 777 to 1320 of the family's 1533-position model. The record is from RNAcentral.